UGCUAAACAAAUAGCAACAGAAUAACAACAAACAGCUGUUCUAUUAUGCACCGAUCAUGACACUUUACUAUGCUUGAACUUUUGAGCUCUUAGCUUUUUUACGCUCUCACUGCGUACGCGUGCUCAUAGAAUCUCUUUGGUGCUUAUGUGACGCUUUCAUUGUUUUCGCCUUUUAUCUACUUCUGCCAACUGCUGCGCUGUGCGGACGAGAUUUCUUUUUCGUCCAUUUCGAGCAUUUCCCAAACAUCCGGCUCUGUAUUUGGUUUAUGCGCUUAUUUGUACUCUUUUUCUCACACCUUUUAUGCAGUCCACAGCUUUUCAUUUCCUUCAGCUUCAGCUGCGUGAGUGUGUGUGUGCAGUAUGUGUGUCUACCGGUGCUUUUCCUUUUAUUUAUAGCUUUUUUCUCUCAAUUUGUUUUUGCCAUUUCAUUUUGUGUGAUUGCCCAUUCAGUGAUCGUCGUUUGCUUGUUUUGCUAUUGUUGUUAGCGGUACCUACCUACCACUUGUCGCUGCUGGUUGCCGUGAACUGAGUACGAAUUCAAACGUCUCGCGCAUACUGUCGCAAUCAAGCGCCUGAGUUAUACACGCGCGCGUCUAUUAUUAUUUGCCAGACGUUAUUUUUGUUGUUGAUUUGUCGGUCUAUGGUUACUUCUAAUUUUUGCGGAACUAAUGAAAAUGAAAUGUGAAAAAAACCAUAAUAAAUUGAAUUGUAGUGAUUCGUUAAAGUGCUAAGAUCUGUUACUAACCGAAAACAAUUUAUUAAAAAAAA
Long non-coding RNA from Ceratitis capitata (Mediterranean fruit fly), 768 nucleotides. RefSeq lists it as uncharacterized. The record is from RefSeq and is a predicted model, not a curated record. The transcript has 2 exons. Lineage: Eukaryota; Metazoa; Arthropoda; Insecta; Diptera; Tephritidae.